UACGGAGGGGGCGAGCGUUAUUCGGAAUUAUUGGGCGUAAAGAGCUCGUAGGCGGUUUGUCGCGUCUGCUGUGAAAACCCGAGGCUCAACCUCGGGCCUGCAGUGGGUACGGGCAGACUAGAGUGCGGUAGGGGAGAUUGGAAUUCCUGGUGUAGCGGUGAAAUGCGCAGAUAUCAGGAGGAACACCGAUGGCGAAGGCAGGUCUCUGGGCCACUACUGACGCUGAGAAGCGAAAGCAUGGGGAGCGAACAGG
This 253-nucleotide ribosomal RNA is filed under the name uncultured bacterium. RNAcentral describes it as "partial 16S ribosomal RNA". It matches the Rfam family "Bacterial small subunit ribosomal RNA", at positions 524 to 776 of the family's 1533-position model. The record is from RNAcentral.